AUAAUGAUACGAUAGCAGUAUCGUAUCCAAUGAGGUUAAUCCGAGAUGGAAUUAUUGCUAGUUGAAAACUUUUCCCAAUACCCCGUCUAGACGUCGUGAAAGACCAACAGUCAUGGCAAUUUUAGAUAGCCUUUUUCAGGG
This 141-nucleotide small nuclear RNA is filed under the name Penaeus japonicus. RNAcentral's name for it is "U4 spliceosomal RNA". It matches the Rfam family "U4 spliceosomal RNA". From Rfam's summary of the family: U4 small nuclear RNA (U4 snRNA) is a component of the major U2-dependent spliceosome. The structure of U4 snRNA from yeast and human has been reported. Lineage: Eukaryota; Metazoa; Arthropoda; Malacostraca; Decapoda; Penaeidae. The record is from RNAcentral.